UGCAGUGACCUAAUUGAUCAGAUGCCGUUUCUCUCUUUUCUCCACCCUCACUUCUGAUGCCUACAUAUCCCUCUAGACCACAGAUAAACAUGGAAGAUGAUAUGGUCAGGCAUUUUGCCUAAAGGUGAGCAAGAUCUCCAGAAAGUGUUGGGUGGAUGGAAGGCCUUGGGUGGACCAGGGCUGAUGGAGCUCAGAGUUUUUGUCACUCCGGAUGCCAUGGCCACUGGCCUCUCUGGUAUGUUGGCGGAGCUGGUGCCGCGUAGAAAAGACCCGUAUUGACUAAGGAUCUGUGGGUUGACUCAGGGCUGUUGGGGGAGGACGUGGCCAUAAUUACCUUCAUGGGAUUGAAGGGCUGAUCCUAUUAGCGUGUUGGGCUAACCCCUUCCUCCUGGGCAUUGCCUCCUGGCCAGCAGCAGGGGUUUAAUGGAUCAAGAUUACGGAGACCAAAGAUGUCGUAUAAUUAAACCCAGUUAUUUCCCUACCUGGGGGACAUCUCUAUCCACAGCAGCAAUUGAUUUCCUCACUUGUGGUCGCCCUGUUCAGCUGCAAGUUACCCUGGGCCUAAACAGCCUGUGGGCCAUCUUUGUGAAUGAGUUUCUCUGUUGAAGGUGCAGUUUUAGGUGAAAAAACCCCUUCUGAGAGUUUUGGGGUCAGAGUGGCAGGGUGUUCUAUACGAUGGGGGCCUCUUUGGGAAACGUGUCUGGGUUCCACAAAGGUACGUAGAAAUCUCACCCUUGGGUCACUCAUGACCCCUGGGCCCAUGAAAAGAAGCUUGUCAGUCCUGCUUGGUUUGUCAAGAUUAGUUUUUCCAUUUGGUCUAAGAAGAACGGAUGUGACAUAUAACCAGCCCUACUACGUGCCAGAUGCUGUGCUACAUACUUUCCUUGAAUUAUCCCUAACAUCCCAACAAAGUAACUGUCAUUAUCCCUCCUGUUUUAUAGACAAGGGAACAGAGGCCCUGUGAGGUUAUUGCCAAAGGGCUCCAGUUUGAAGUGGAUCGGAUUUCAGAUUGCUCUGAUUCUCUGUGUAGCCUUCUGGCGGCAAUGAUGAUGAUAGCCAAUGCUGUUGAGUACCUACUAUGUGUCGACACUGUCCUAGGCAUUAACCCUGUUAUCACCAGUCCUCAACAGGCCCUAUUUUAUGAGGCAGGAAUUGUUAUCUGUAUUUUAUAGAGAAGAAAUGACCUUAGGGAAGUUAAGUAAUUCAUUCAAGAGAAUGAGAGCUUCUAGCUUCUAGAGCUAGAAGACAAGCCAGGCUUUGAGCACAAGGUUGGCUGGACUCUGAACUGUGCUUUCUCCCACACUCCCUGCCUUUCACAGCAUUGCCAGUGAGGCCCCCCCUUGGCCAGGUAGUUUGUGGAUGUUGAUUGAUCUGCUCACCUCUCUAGCUAAAAUGACAACUGUAAAGACAGGCUUGGCUCCCCCAUGGGGCUCAGAAAGCUCUCAGCCUUCAGGGGGCCUGUAUGUGCCCAUCCACUGGACUACCUCUUCCUAAGGAAUGAUCCCAAGGAGAUCUCCCCAUGGGCACUUGGAGCCCGUAUCCCACCAUUACCUUAUCCCUGGGAUUAUUGCCAAGAAACACUGAUGGCCAACCAAAUUAAGUAAUUAAAUAAAUAAAAUAAAGUUUGAAGGGAAAGAGAGAAAAUAGAUUUUGGGGAUAGAAAUGGGGUACAGCUAGUUCCCAGUUUCUAGAGCAGAGCAGGGCCAGAGGCAAGGCGAUGAGAGCUGGAGGAGGAGAGGACUCGGCAGAGCCACACUGGCCUCCCUCUCAGGCCUUUUAAAAUUCACCUCCACGGUUUCCAAAGGAGAAUAAAGGGCCCUCAGCCCUAAAUCAGGCCACUGCACACCAAGGUCCUUUGCCGAGGCCCAGGGCCAGUUGGGCUGCAGAUCCAGCCUCUGUGUUUGAACUCACCCACGCGCAGCAUGCUAAUGAUGGGCUGGUUUGGUGCAGACCCUUCAGCCCCUCUCCGCACGCCCCCACGGCCCCAGAGCCCAGAGUCCCCUGCUGAGCAGCAGCCUGUGCCUGGUGGCUUACACCCUAGCACAUGGUUGCAAAGAGGGUUUGUGUGUGGUGAGUGUUCUGGAUGGGAUAAAACGGAGGAACGCCCUGCCCUGAGCUGAGAACCAAAGCCAGAAGGCGCCAGUGGGGAGGAGAAGGGGGGAGCUCCCUGACCCCAUUCUCUUCCUUUCCCCUCCCUGCCCACAACUUCAUGGGCAGCUUACUUCCUGCACGAAGCCUGUAGGCAUUUUUAGGAAUCCUUCUUUGGUUGGGUGUGGGGACCCAUGAACCUUCCCCUCCCUUGCUCCUGUUUGUAGAGGAGUUUCUAGUAAGAAGUUUCCAUUGCUUCUGCCUCCCUGUGGUUCCAGGACGCAGCCAGACCAGAGGCUCAGCCUGGACAAGAUCCGUCUCCUAGGUGCAACCUUGUGGCGUACCCCCAUACCCCCCGAGCUUUCUCCUGGUCUUCCUGUGCUUCCUGCCCUUCCCCGCACCCCCCGCCCCCCAGCCCCCACUGUCUUUCAAGGGAAGAGACACCACUCGGGGAAGACUGAUGAAAUGGGCUGCCCAAGAAUUGAGAGGGCCUGGUGAUGGCGAUCCUGUCCUUCCAAAGAGGAUGCGACUUCACCCUAGUGCUUCUCCACAGGUCCUUCUGUGCAGGACCUGCAGUAUGAAAACAGUGGACACAAUACUCUCAGAGGGCUUUUAUGAACCGUAAGGAAUAAUAAUUUACCAGACCGCAGUCAUGGAUAUACCGCUGUUGUGAUUUUCGCCAGAUUUACACAGUUCUGUUCUUAUGAACUUAGCGUUCUUCUUCAAUUUGAUUUAUUGUUUGAAAUAUAACUUAGAAAGAGAACUAGUGAAAAUUCUGUACCGCUUGCAACAAACCAAAAGUUACCUUACCAAUAAACAUGCUAAA
Long non-coding RNA from Felis catus (domestic cat), 2914 nucleotides. RefSeq lists it as uncharacterized. The transcript is spliced from 2 exons. The record is from RefSeq and is a predicted model, not a curated record. Lineage: Eukaryota; Metazoa; Chordata; Mammalia; Carnivora; Felidae.